Molecule: long non-coding RNA, 807 nt
Filed under: Lactuca sativa (garden lettuce)
Lineage: Eukaryota; Viridiplantae; Streptophyta; Magnoliopsida; Asterales; Asteraceae
Description: long non-coding RNA (LSAT_LNC007597)
Source: RNAcentral
GCCGAAGCUCUGCCCGUAAGAAGUUCAAUUUUUGUGAAGAUCUUCCAGAUCUGCGGAGAUAUACUACUUCUGCAAGCCGUAGUGCUGUCUGAUCAUCUUCUGAUCAAGUGAGUGUAUACUACCUUUCAUAAACACGAUAAUAAUACAAGUAUGGUUUGAGUGUAUUAAGUAUAUUGUUGUUUAUAUGUGUGAGGGUGUAGUUACUUUCUUCUAACACAUAAAUAUGAAGUAUUUGCUAUGAAAUACGUGCUAUGUGUUUAUGCAUUAUUUGUCUAUUUGAGAUGGGCGUGGAGUUGAUGUUUUAUACAAGUGUUAAAUGAUUUAAACUGUGUAAGUAUUUAUAUCUACGAAAAUGUUGGGUAGAACUUGGGUAGAUGGGAUAGUUGGUGACUAUGGAGUUAGCGCCUAUUGUAUAAACCUUGGCGACGAUGUGACUUCGUGCCUAUUUGAUGAACCUUGGCGACUAUGGAGUUAGCGCUUGUUGAGUAAACCUUGGCGACUAUGGAGUUAGCGCUUGUUGAGUAAACCUUGGCGACUAUGGAGUUAGCUCUUGUUGAGUAAACCGUGGCGACUAUGGAGUUAGUGCUUGUUGAGUAAACCUUGGCGACUAUGGAGUUAGCGCUUGUUGAGUAAACCUUGGCGACUAUGGAGUUAGCGCUUGUUGAGUAAGCCUUGGCGACUAUGGAGUUAGUGCUUGUUAAGUGAACCUUGGUGACUAUGGAGUUAACACCUGAUAGCUAUGGAUUUAGUACUUGAUAAAUAAACUUUGGCAGCAAUGGAUUUCGUGCCAAUUCCUUAGGAAUAAAU